UGGGGAAUCAUGGUCAAUGGGCGAAAGCCUGAACCUGCGACGCCGCGUGAGUGAUGAAGGUCGUAAGAUCGUACAACUCUUUUCAGGGAUCUUAAAGCCUGUCUGUCAACAACAGGCAGGUCUGACUCUCCCUGGAAGAAGCCCCAGCCAACUACGUGCCAGCAGCUGCGGUAAUACGUAGGGGGCGAGCGUUGUUCGGCAUUACUGGGUGUAAAGGGUAUGUAGGCGGCCCUUCACGUCGCGGGUCAAAGUCCAGUGCUCAACGCUGG
Molecule: ribosomal RNA, 269 nt
Filed under: uncultured prokaryote
Description: partial 16S ribosomal RNA
Rfam family: Bacterial small subunit ribosomal RNA
Source: RNAcentral